Molecule: long non-coding RNA, 2196 nt
Organism: Clupea harengus (Atlantic herring)
Lineage: Eukaryota; Metazoa; Chordata; Actinopteri; Clupeiformes; Clupeidae
Source: Ensembl
GGAGGGUAUCAGGGGGGGUCAGGGGGGGAUCUAACCCUGCUUCCCCAGACUGGCAGGCUCUUCAUCCACGGGGCUUUGACUGGCAGGCUCUUCAUCCACGGGGCUUUGACUGGCAGGCUCUUCAUCCACGGGGCUUUGACUGGGGCACGUCCAGGAGAACAUCUCCAUCCAGCUCGACACCACCCUGACACGUUCCGUCGUCGAGUCUCUUCUUGUUGAAAAGACAUAUUUUUUGGGUACAAAAUGAAUUGUGAGCGAGAAAGAAAGACAGAGACCUUACUGAGACAUCUGGAGAGAAGAUAGCCACGGGAUUGGAUACCAUGGUACCACAUAGUUUGUUGCAUUUGAAUUCCUAUAAGACAGACUUUUUUUCUAAAAAAAAAGAAAGAAAUAUAUAAGAAAUCUAUAAAUUAUGACUGAAUACUGUGCUUUGUUAUCUUGAAGGGGCAUAACUCUUUUCACUGUGAGGUUUCUAUGAUACGACAAACUGCUUUUCUUGCCAAACCUAACUGCUCUAAGGCAUGUCUGAUUGUGGUAUCUUCAGCAUUCGUUUGUUUGUUUGUUUGUUUGUUUGUUUUGAGUUUUUAAAUGUUGGGUAUUUUGUAUCACCUCUGUAUUCAUCAGUUUUAUUCUUCUUCUUCUUCUUAUGGUUGUUAUUAUUAUGCAUAUUAUUAUGAUUCCGUUUCAACGUGAAGGAACAAAGAAGGCCAUUUGCUCUGCUUAGAAGCCUGCCUAAGCUCAUAUGGUACCAACUGAUCAACUCCAGUCAGUGUCCAGUUGAACAGUGUUUCAGCCCCAAUGAGCCACACUCCCUGGCACACACACACACACACACACACACACACACACACACACACACACACACACAAAUAAUUCAAGCAUGUUUCCUUGCAUGGUUAAAUCACGCGUUUCAUUCUUUUUUUUUUUCUAAGUCCAUGAAGAGCAUAGUAGCUUUUCCGACAAAGGUUUUGGUGAUGAUGAGGAAAAAGAAAAAUGCUGCUAUCUUAAUUCUGGCAGCAUGCAGCUUAUUCUUCUUCUUAAGACACUACAUACAGUGACAGAUGGGAAGACCUAGUCGUCCAAUUAAGACUUAAGUCGUUGAAAUGAUCAUGAGCCGUCCACACUGCACGUGUGCGACGAGAUGGAUUUGCCUUAAAUGAUCAGUGCCCCUCACAGAGGGAUGUACACAGUGCCUCUCUGCCAGAAACAGUCGCCCAGAGAGAUAGAGAGAGAGGUGUCUCCCUCCCGCAAGAGAGUGUGUGUAUUAAACAGCUCGAUCGCUGGAAGCGACCACAGAGCAUUGUGUUACUCGCAUAGGGAGAAUAUUAGUGGACGGGCUUUUUGUUGUUUCUUUUUUGUUUUGUUUAUUUGUUUGUUUGUUUUUUCCGAUCUGCCCACCACUCCUGCUGGUCUCGCUCAGCCCCUGGUUUCCUGCAUCUCACUGUGGAUCCACCCCACUGGCCGUGACAGUUGAUCAAGUGUGUACCAAAAACAGCUUGUGCCUUUGACCCUCCCCUCAGACACACACACACACACACACUGUGGGGAGGUCAAAGGUUAAAGGUUAGCGUUGAAGGGUUAAUGACCUUGAGCUGGAGUACAUUAAGGCUUUGAGGGGGGGGGAGUGGAGGAGGGGAGAAUGGGGGGCGGGGGGGGUGCAGGUGGAUUUUAAUGAAGUAUUUUAGGACUACUGAAAACUCACACUGGGGCCUCUGUGUCUGGGUCAGGCAUGAAGAACCCUGAUCAUCUUUUUUAUGUUUGUUUGGUUUUAAUUUGUUCUUCUGGGUUUUUUUUGUUUUCCUUUACUUUAGUCGAAGGACUAGAAAAGGGGUAAGCAUUUCAACUUUUUUUGCAGAUGAAAGUUGAAAAAGACUGACAAAACAUAGAAAUAACAUUUCCCCUUGAAAAAAAUAAAAGUGUCUGUUUUGAUUUUGGUUUUCAUUCAGUGAGUAUCCUUACCUCACUUAAACUACGCCGGCACCACACUCACUUCUGUGUGUGCUCAUUCGUCACUUUGUCUUUGACACACGACCGGUACGUAUGGUUCCUUGAUACUGUCCACCGUAAGGAGGAGUAACCGAGGAAGCCCGACUUAGAAACAGCAGGUCCUUAAAUAUUUCACAUGCUGCAUUGAGGUGGAUGCCCUUGUUGACAGACUCUCUUGCAGUUCCUGUAAUGAAGAUGCCAUCACUGUUC